UUUUGGUAUAAAAAUAUUUUUGUCUACAUGAUGGUUGUUUGGAUGAAUAGCAAGAUCAGAUAUUUUGAAAUUUUUAAUUUACAUUUUGAUGUGUUUGGUGAUGAUUAUCACCUUAACAUAUGGUAUGGAUGAAACAUUGUGAUAUAUGGUUAAUAGGUAUGCUUGACUUUAGACUUACAGAUGAUGAUAUUUAUAAUGAAUAAGUAUGGAUUCUCCAACAUUGUGUAUACUUCUAUUUGGAUGAGCAAAUGUAUUGUGCAAUAUGGAUAUUGGAUAGGCUGUGUUGGUUGUACAGGAUUUGGAACGAGC
Molecule: long non-coding RNA, 309 nt
Filed under: Phoenix dactylifera (date palm)
Lineage: Eukaryota; Viridiplantae; Streptophyta; Magnoliopsida; Arecales; Arecaceae
Description: long non-coding RNA (PDAC_LNC013088)
Source: RNAcentral